GACGAACGCUGGCGGCGUGCUUAACACAUGCAAGUCGAACGGAAAGGCCCUGCUUGUGUGGGGUGCUCGAGUGGCGAACGGGUGAGUAACACGUGAGUAACCUGCCCUUGACUUUGGGAUAACUUCAGGAAACGGGAGCUACUACAGGAUAGGAGCCCCUGCUGCAUGGUGGGGGUUGGAAAGUUUCGGCGGUUGGGGAUGGACUGGCGGCUUAUCAGCUUGUUGGUGGGGUAGUGGCUUACCAAGGCUUUGACGGGUAGCCGGCCUGAGAGGGUGACCGGCCACAUUGGGACUGAGAUACGGCCCAGUGUCCUACGGGAGGCAGCAGUGGGGAAUAUUGCACAAUGGGCGGAAGCCUGAUGCAGCAACGCCGCGUGCGGGAUGACGGCCUUCUGGUUGUAAACCGCUUUCGCCUGUGACGAAGCGUGAGUGACGGUAAUGGGUAAAGAAGCACCGGCUAACUACGUG
Molecule: ribosomal RNA, 468 nt
Filed under: uncultured bacterium
Lineage: Bacteria
Description: partial 16S ribosomal RNA
Rfam family: Bacterial small subunit ribosomal RNA
Source: RNAcentral